Zeugodacus cucurbitae (melon fly) is the source of this 5448-nucleotide long non-coding RNA. RefSeq lists it as uncharacterized. The record is from RefSeq and is a predicted model, not a curated record. The transcript is spliced from 3 exons. Lineage: Eukaryota; Metazoa; Arthropoda; Insecta; Diptera; Tephritidae.
UCUACAACAACAACAACAACAACAACAACAACCGAUAAUGCACCUACAAUCAUGAGUUAUACACAGUGUUGCGUGUGUGUGGUCUCGGUUGCGCUCCGUACGGUAGCUAUGCGUUGUUGUUUUUGCAUGUUCGUGUUGUUGUUGUUGUACAAGGAAGUAGCUAAAUUGCAUCAUAAAUUUAAAGAAAACGUGUAGAAAAUACGCAGACACGACACGAAAGCAUUAUUAAAAGCGAAAAAUAUGAAAAGUGAUUAGCAAUGAAAAGUUGGAAAAUUGUGUGGGAACAUUUUUCACUGAAAUAAUUACCAUUGAAGGGAUCAAAAAUUACCGACCGCAUGGAAAUGUGUGUAAUUAUUGUUAAUAAACUAAAUGAUAUGCAGAUAUUUUACACUGUGUGUAGAGAGAUCUGUAGAGAGAUAUGAAGCAGAUAUUUCAUAAACCAUCUGAGAAUUACAAAACUUAAUGAACGAAAUGACACCACCAGCGUCGGAAGCUAAGGUUUUGACUAAUUUCAGUUUCGCGAUGCUCUUAUGGACGACCCGUGGUUACGAUUCCAUCGGAUUAACAUUGAAAGACUGGAUUUUAGAAGCUGCUCCCUCAAGUCCGAAAUAUUCUCGAUCAUAUAGUAUUAAUCCUGCCUUCUGAUGGUCAUCACUUAAUUACUACUGGAUUAGAAUUAUUUUGAUGAAAGGAAAAAAUGUGCGUAAAGGCUUAGAAAGCAUAAAUUCCACACUUCUUUAAAGAGAAUAAAAAUUAGAACAGCGAUCUCGCAGCAUUCUUUGAAUGAAUUCAGUGCCACAACCCACACACUCCAACGCCGGCAAUGGAAAACUCAUGAAGAAGUGAACUUAACAUUCACUUUCACACUAGUUUCGGCUAUGUUAAUUCGCCUGAGUGUGCACUCUCCGCCGGCAGCAAGCAGACUGCAGGAUAUCUGUCUGUAUAACGAUGUCGGGUGGUGAGUGGGUGCGACUAAAGUGAUAGAAGUAACGGCUAUGCGCCAUAAAAAGCGAAGUGGCCGUAAAAAAUGUGCACACGAAAUGCCAGCGGAAAAUGCCUGCGACCGCCGUUGCACACAAGAGCGCCUAAAUGAUACAAACGUUCGGAAAAAGUGAUCUCGGCAUAUAUGAAAACACAUAAAUUACUCAUAUUGAAACGCUGGCUGGCGGUGGUUAAUGUCUGGCUGCAGCAAAAUGCUUUGCAUAUUAAUGGGUCAGAAAGCAAACCUUUAUUACCACAAUUAAGAUGAUAUUAAAUAAACGCUUCAAACAAAACAACAACAACGUAAACAAGAGUUUUGCUUAAUUGCCAUGAAGACAUUGGUAAAGUGAGCGGCGAAUGAACCACAAACACUCGCCGGUGUACGCGAGCUUACUUGCUGGCUGGUAGUCGGGCAGUUAGCGGAUAUUUGAGCCAUUUAUUUGACGCUUAACUGGCUGCCGUUUGUUAAUGGCAAUGACUGGUAUGUGGUAGUUUGGAAGUCGUGAAAAUAUUUCGACAAACAAAAGCGUAGAAUAAUAUAUUAAUAGUUAGGCACAAAGACAUGAACAUACUUUAUGUAUUUUGUAGGAGAGAGAAAGAAGCCUGAAAGCGCACAGUCGACUGCGUUCUAAUUCCUAGAUUGUUUCACUAUUCAGUUUUGUCGAUAGGUGGCGCUGUCGUUGCGAAGAUGUAAAAACCGCGUUUACUAAGGAAUUCGGUCCAUAAUCUACAAAAUUUUACAAUGGGAUGGAAGCUUCAGUGACAGAUAUAACUUUUCCCGGGUAACAUAGCUUGAACCUCUAAUUCCAAGAACGAGCUCCAGCAUAAAAUCAUGAUCAAUUAAAAGUCAAAAUUUAUUUUAUACUGAAAUUCGAAGCACAACCAAUAUAACCUCAACUCGAUCGAUCCAUAUGAUUAUCAUAGACAAAUAGAAAUACCAAAACGCACCCUAAUUUUUACUCGAACAAGGACUGUCAACUCGACAGCAUGCAUCCUAAUUAGUUGGGGAACGGUUUCUACCCCUACAACAACAAUAAUUUCAAGUAAGCUUACGAAGAGCUCUACAUAGAACUUACGAGCCCCUCUAAUUCACUUCGAAAGAAUACCGUAAUGUACUUAACUCCGUUGGAUAUCAACAUGAUUUUAGUUAUUUAAACUUAUAAUCUAAACAAGGCUUCUAGGUUAUGUAGAAUUUACAUUAGCAUACCGCAUUCUGUGUGGGCGUUUAGUAUAACCCAUUUUUCCCCAAGACUUGCCUUGGGUAGGCAAUGUGAAAUUUAUUCGUUAAACAUUUUUGAAGACUUCAAAAUAAAAAGGUUAAAAAAAAAAAAUAAAAUAAAAAUCGAAUGCAACUGCAACUAGCAAGAAAUGCAAUUAAAUUCGCAGACAUUCGAAAUUGCACUCAUGAAAAUUUAGCGAUUGCCUUGUUUACUUUCAAUUCAAUGUUAAGUCAAACUUUAAUGUGCCAUUAAGCAGUUGCAUUAACUGCUCACCCGCAAGUAAGGUGAACCAUUUAUGUGCAUAAAUAUUGUCAGUUGAUAUGAUUUCGUGACGCUUUAAGUGCCAAAUUUAUGACUAUUUGAAAGAAUUUUAAUUAACGAGUUUUGGCAUGCACUUGCAGUUAUAGAUAUGUAUUUGAGAGUAUGAAUGCAAGGAAAAUGAGUAAAUAAAAAAUAUACGAUGAAAUAAAAUGUCAGGAAAAGUUAGUUUUACCUUUCGCUUUACUAUUACUGAAUUUCCAUCAUUUUCCAUUGAAUAAACAGUAAAAUUGUGUUUUCAUAACUUCCUCGGAACUGAUUUAGUUAAAAUUUACGGGAAUUCCGUACAAAGCUCCAAAAAUUAGUUUGUCAUAAAAUGGUGAUUUCGAUUUUCCCACGAGUGUUGGUUUUGAUGUGUGAUUUGAGUAUAAAAAAAAGGAAUCAAAACUGUGAGAGGAAAUUGUAUGCAGAAGAGUAAUAAGGAUGUCGAGAAAACCUUUUUUCAUCCUCUAUGGAUUAAAAAUAGUGAUGUCUCAAAGAUCUUGAGUCUGAGUCUGUCGUUUUUCCGAAACUCGGUUGAUGACUUAAGUUCUCUUCUAUAAAUCUGCAGAGCGCUUCCACUAGAUCUACGAAACAGCAUUCCCUUAUUUAUUUCUGACGAAUCACAAGACCUUGGAAUCCUUUAGUUAUAGACCUGGUUCCGACUAACCCCAAAAGUUCGUCGAAUGAACUUGAGAAAUGAGGAAUCGGUCGGUAUCUGUUCGACUGCGAGAUCAUUCUGGCCUAAUGUGGAUCACAGGAGAUCUACUGAGCUAUUUUCUCCUAGCAAACUUUCAGCUCCUCGAAUUGGUAGGAGUCCUUACGGGACAUUGGCCGAUGGAGCUACAUGCAAAUUGCAUGGAAGAAGGUAAAAUUGAGACAUCGAGACACUUCCGCCUUCCAUCUUGUACAGCUUUCGCUAGAAGCAUCUAGCAGGACGAACUUCAGAGAACCAGUUGAACUGUAUCGCAUAAAAAUUAGUUGCCUCAACAAAUUCAUAAAAGGCUCAUAGCGCUUUGUAGUCCUUGAGUGUUUUUGCUAUCCAUUUGGAAGAGCUUACGACAUCACAAAGGACUGGCGACUUUAGCUGUCCAAGUGGGAUCUCCUGUGGCACAGGAUACAGUCCUUCAAACUAACCUAAUUUCAAAAGUUGUCUUCUAAUAGCGGUCACUCCUUCUUUUGUUGGCUAGUAAAUUUUCUCAUAAAAUCCAAUUCGUAUAGAAAAUGAGCGACGCUGUUGAAAACAAAGCAAAAAGAAUUAGAUCAAGCAAGGUCUGCAGGUUAUUUAAGCCACUGCACCCGAUUUUUUGGGAAACUCAUACUCGAACACGGUAUAUUUAAGGAAUAUGACGUAAAUGCGAAAAUGUUUCUCUAUUCCUUUUUACUGGUGCCACUUUGAAGCAUCCCGAACUAUAUAUAAGGCCCUGGUACAUUACCCCAGCUUAACCUAACUUUUUGCCAUACCUAUUCUUAUCUUGUCAUAUAUAAAUAAAUACGGAUGGAGCUUCACUCUUUUUUUACUCACGACUGUACACAAAUUAAAAUUUUUAAAUUGAAUUCCUUUAUCAGCGCCACACACAGUUAUGGUUAUGUACGAAUAAUAAAAGAAAUCUUUAUUAUACUUUUUAUAUGCAAUUACAAUAAAACAUCUGGUCACUUAAAAGUUGAAUAAAGAUAAAUCGUCUGCAGUUAUCUAAACAAUAUGCAUGUUAUGGCAACGCCGACAAAUUUCAACAUAAAUCUUUCAAAUCGGCUUUAAGGCUAUGAAAAGCAUAAACGCAACUGGAAAGAAAAAAAAUCAUGAAAAUGGAAAUGGAAAAAUAUAAAAUAGUGAGUGAGAGCAUAAAUAAAAAAGAAAAACAAAAAACAGACGAGAUAAGCUUCCUUGCUGUCUACGAGUAUUUACUGUUAGCUGUGAAAGCACACACUCAGUUGUGAUUUUCAAUUGUGUAUGAUUUGUUAUAGCCAUAUUUAUGACAGUGUGUUCGAAUCAAUAUGUUUUGACGCUCCAAAAUGCCAGCAAUUAUCUUUAUGCAUAUUCACAGUGGGAAAUUUCGCAUAAAAAUAAUCGCAAACUUGAGAAAUUUGACGAAAUGAAAUGCAUUUGCAUAAGAAAUGUUGAUUGGAAAAUAUAAUUAAACUUUAGCGAGCCCCCAUAGUAGGCAUAAAAUUCAAAUUCAAAGGCACUUGUAAAUAAUAUAUGUAUAAGAAAAGCUUAAUGGCUGAAGGUAAAUUUAUGAUAAUGAAGAAAACACUGCAACGCCAAUAAAGGUAUUUUGGUGAGCAUGAUAAACAAUAUACUCGUAAUAAAUUAUAUGAUUUCCGCAGACCGCAGCGUCGUCGCCGUGGCGUAUGAGUGACAUUUAUUAUUCGACCCUCAAUUGACUUUGUCCAGCAAAGAGUGCCGCCGCCGCCAAAGAUGUUUAUGUAUUUAAUAUAAACUUAUUGCAUAUCGUAAUCAAAAACCUCGAAAUCGCUGAAAAAUCUUAAAAGAUGAUGAAAAAAGGUGAAGGAGGCUAUUUUUUUUCUUUUCUGAGAGUGUGAUAUAUAUGGUAUAUGUUUAAAAAUAUAUAAAAUUUAUUCAACCUUCUUCAUAACUAAAAAAAUACAGUUUAUACAUUCCAGAUCUCUGUCUUAUCGAUUUCAAACUUAAACUCCACAAUAUAUAACCUUAUUACCUGCUUUGACUCCCACAUGAUCCACCUACUAGUCCUAUGUGAUUCAAUUAUGUGAACACACAAGGUUAAUAUGAACUUCAAAAAAUCCUAAUAACUACCCCUUCGUGAAGAAAGUUAGUCUUGGAUGAUUUAUCAAGUGUUUCGAAAUUUUUGAAGUCUUUAAAUUAAUUUGUGUUACGGCAGAUUCUCAUCAGGUAGAGUCUUCUCCGUCUAUAUUACUCUUUUAUUUGCUUAGAAAAGCUUUCUAUAAAAGUUCUCAGAAGAACCCAAAA